CGGUGACCGGUUAGAACUGAGACGAACGGAAACAGCGAGAACUGACGGACCAGUGAUCCGCCAUGAACGUGGAGCAUUUAAUACAACCGAUGCAAGAUGAUCAUAUUUAUGAUGAUGGGUAGGAAAUAAAUUGUCUUUUCCACAAUAUGCCUAUUCCAUCAUAUUAUUAUGGAGUACCACAAAAUUAGGAUGGACGUUAUCAAAAAAUUAAAAUGGCCAUAGUUUUUAAAAUGUUGGUGCUGCAGCCAAACGUUUCGAGCCUGAAGAAGGCCACUUGGCGCAUCCCCCACCAGUAGAAGGAAAUGGAGUCAGUCAACCUGUAACCGAAAACGUCAGUCUCACUCCAGCCUCUGCCGUGUAGCCUCCGUGCCGUUUUCCGUUGCGUGUCGCCCUUUCACCUCCCCUGUGCAGGAACAGUGUUAUGGUACCGAUGACUCUAAGCUGACCUGUGUUUGUGCGUUUUUUUUUCGUUUUUGUUUUUAUUGUAUUUUAUGGCUGUGAAAUGGCAGUAGUGGAAUCGAGCCGAGGGGGACGGGGGAGCAUGCCUCUGAUGCUGGGGGCGGACCAGACCAUCAUCGCAGCAGGUGGAGCGACCUCCCUCUACCAUCCGCCUGCAGCUUCGCAGGAUCUUCAGCCGGACAGGCCCAUUGGAUACGGUGCCUUCGGCGUCGUCUGGUGAGUCACAUUUUUCAAAUUAUAUUCAA
Long non-coding RNA from Cimex lectularius (bed bug), 704 nucleotides. RefSeq lists it as uncharacterized. NCBI's taxonomy places the organism in Eukaryota, Metazoa, Arthropoda, Insecta, Hemiptera, Cimicidae. The transcript is spliced from 3 exons. The record is from RefSeq and is a predicted model, not a curated record.